AGAAAAGUAAGCUAAACUCAAGCUAUUGGGUUCAUACCCCAACCAUAGAUCUAUUCUCUUUUCUA
RNAcentral lists this transfer RNA (65 nucleotides) under Damon diadema. RNAcentral describes it as "tRNA-Met". Lineage: Eukaryota; Metazoa; Arthropoda; Arachnida; Amblypygi; Phrynichidae. The record is from RNAcentral.